RNAcentral lists this ribosomal RNA (1066 nucleotides) under Hysterium pulicare. Its description in RNAcentral is "SSU rRNA". It matches the Rfam family "Eukaryotic small subunit ribosomal RNA", at positions 50 to 1123 of the family's 1831-position model. The record is from RNAcentral. Lineage: Eukaryota; Fungi; Ascomycota; Dothideomycetes; Hysteriales; Hysteriaceae.
CAUGCAUGUCUAAGUAUAAGCAACCUAUACUGUGAAACUGCGAAUGGCUCAUUAAAUCAGUUAUCGUUUAUUUGAUAGUACCUUACUACAUGGAUAACCGUGGUAAUUCUAGAGCUAAUACAUGCUAAAAACCCCGACUUCGGAAGGGGUGUAUUUAUUAGAUAAAAAACCAAUGCCCUUCGGGGCUCCCUGGUGAUUCAUAAUAACUCAACGAAUCGCAUGGCCUUGCGCCGGCGAUGGUUCAUUCAAAUUUCUGCCCUAUCAACUUUCGAUGGUAGGAUAGUGGCCUACCAUGGUAUCAACGGGUAACGGGGAAUUAGGGUUCUAUUCCGGAGAGGGAGCCUGAGAAACGGCUACCACAUCCAAGGAAGGCAGCAGGCGCGCAAAUUACCCAAUCCCGACACGGGGAGGUAGUGACAAUAAAUACUGAUACGGGGCUCUUUUGGGUCUCGUAAUUGGAAUGAGUACAAUUUAAAUCCCUUAACGAGGAACAAUUGGAGGGCAAGUCUGGUGCCAGCAGCCGCGGUAAUUCCAGCUCCAAUAGCGUAUAUUAAAGUUGUUGCAGUUAAAAAGCUCGUAGUUGAACCUUGGGCCUGGCUGGCCGGUCCGCCUCACCGCGUGUACUGGUCCGGCCGGGCCUUUCCUUCUGGGGAAUCGCAUGCCCUUCACUGGGUGUGUCGGGGAACCAGGACUUUUACUUUGAAAAAAUUAGAGUGUUCAAAGCAGGCCUUUGCUCGAAUACAUUAGCAUGGAAUAAUAGAAUAGGACGUGCGGUUCUAUUUUGUUGGUUUCUAGGACCGCCGUAAUGAUUAAUAGGGAUAGUCGGGGGCAUCAGUAUUCAAUUGUCAGAGGUGAAAUUCUUGGAUUUAUUGAAGACUAACUACUGCGAAAGCAUUUGCCCAAGGAUGUUUUCAUUAAUCAGUGAACGAAAGUUAGGGGAUCGAAGACGAUCAGAUACCGUCGUAGUCUUAACCAUAAACUAUGCCGACUAGGGAUCGGGCGAUGUUAUCAUUUUGACUCGCUCGGCACCUUACGAGAAAUCAAAGUCUUUGGGUUCUGGGGGGAG